AGGCAAAAUGACCCGUGGUGCACGCUCACACCGUGGCUCUUAGAACAGGGGAGCCUGCAACCCUUGUAGCCUCUUCCUUUUUCUGCCUCCUGGAUGGACGUCCCUGAGCACGGCUGAGGGCGAGCCUGGCAUGCACAGGGCUCAGAAGGUUGGGGAGGCAGUGGGCCGGUGGAGCAUUCCUCAGUUCCUUCAAAGCGGAGGUGGCAGGGUCUGUGUGUGUUUGGGAUUUAACCGGGGUGAGGUCUGGCACCCUUAAGGCUUUGACUGCCCGUGGAAGAGGGAAAUAACUGUCCUCUAGGGUGAAUGGCCUCGGCCUCUUACCUUAGAUGGACCAACAAAGACGAAGUGAAGUACUUGCUUAGAUGCCAAUUCAUUGGAGUGGAUGCGACCCACGGGGGCGACCUGCAUAACACUGCGAUAUAGGACGGUCCUGGGUUUGCUAUGUGCUGUCCAGGAUUAGCACUGUGCAUCUCCCCGUUGGAGUGUGAAGAGGGAGAGCCUGGAAUGUAAGAGGGGGAAUAGAGCUGACACUCUUCCUCAGAGUAUGAUGCUACUGGGAUCCAGAAGGGAGAGAGAAAGGACAUGAAUAAAUUUCCUGCGAAGCAUCCUGAGGAAGUGCUUGAGAGCAAAUAAUAAUCGAGUCCAAAAUGUUAACGUGAGGAACCUGGGGAAAAGGCUAACAGGAAUGGUUCAGCAGCCAAGAACAUUUGUUGCUCUAGCAGAGGACGUGAGUUCAGUUCCUAGCACCUACUUUGUGCCUCACAGUCAUCCAUAACUCUGGAGCGAAGGACCUGACACCUUCUUCUUCACUCUGGAGACACCAUGCAUGCACAUAUAUGUACAGGUAAAAUACUCAGACACACAAAA
Molecule: non-coding RNA, 867 nt
Organism: Peromyscus maniculatus bairdii (prairie deer mouse)
Lineage: Eukaryota; Metazoa; Chordata; Mammalia; Rodentia; Cricetidae
Source: RefSeq, a predicted model, not a curated record